This 213-nucleotide ribosomal RNA is filed under the name Triticum aestivum (bread wheat). Its description in RNAcentral is "partial small subunit ribosomal RNA". The record is from RNAcentral. Lineage: Eukaryota; Viridiplantae; Streptophyta; Magnoliopsida; Poales; Poaceae.
AUGUGGUUUGUGCAUAAACAAGUCAUUUUGACUAAGGAUAACCUGGCAAAACGCAACUGGGUGGGCUCAUUUAGGUGUAGCUUUUGCGAUCAUAACGAAAGCAUCAAACACCUCUUUCUCGAUUGUCCGUUGGCUAAGAUUCUGUGGCGGUCGAUUCAUAUUGCGUUCAAUAUCAAUCAGCCCACCUCUAUCAAUAUGUUAUUUGGAACAUGA